GAUGAAUGCUGGCGGCGUGCCUAACACAUGCAAGUCGAGCGGCAGCGCAGUCUUCGGACUGGCGGCGAGCGGCGGACGGCUGAGUAACGCGUGGGAACGUACCCCAAAGUGAGGAAUAACUGCCCGAAAGGGUAGCUAAUGCCGCAUAUGGUCUUCGGAUUAAAGGAUUUAUCCGCUUUGGGAACGGCCUGCGUACGAUUAGAUUGUUGGUGAGGUAAUGGCUCACCAAGUCGACGAUCGUUAACUGGUCUGAGAGGAUGAUCAGUCAGACUUGAACUGAGACACGGUCCAGACUCCUACGGGAGGCAGCAGUGAGGAAUCUUCCACAAUGGGCGAAAGCCUGAUGGAGCAACGCCGCGUGCAUGAUGAAGGCCUUCGGGUCGUAAACUGCUUUUAUAAGUGAAGAAUAUGACGGCAACUUAUGAAUAAGCACCGGCUAACUACGUGCCAGCCGCCGCGGUA
RNAcentral lists this ribosomal RNA (462 nucleotides) under uncultured bacterium. RNAcentral's name for it is "partial 16S ribosomal RNA". It matches the Rfam family "Bacterial small subunit ribosomal RNA", at positions 28 to 522 of the family's 1533-position model. The record is from RNAcentral.